GACGAACGCUGGCGGCGUGCUUAACACAUGCAAGUCGAACGGUAAGGCUCCUUCGGGAGUACACGAGUGGCGAACGGGUGAGUAACACGUGAGCAACCUGCCCUUGACUUUGGGAUACCAGCUGGAAACAGCUGCUAAUACCGGAUAUGACCCUAUUACUCAUGUUUUGGGGUGGAAAGCUCCGGCGGUCAGGGAUGGGCUCGCGGCCUAUCAGCUUGUUGGUGAGGUAAUGGCUCACCAAGGCUUCGACGGGUAGCCGGCCUGAGAGGGCGACCGGCCACACUGGGACUGAGAUACGGCCCAGACUCCUACGGGAGGCAGCAGUGGGGAAUAUUGCACAAUGGGCGCAAGCCUGAUGCAGCAACGCCGCGUGCGGGAUGACGGCCUUCGGGUUGUAAACCGCUUUCAGUAGGGACGAAGCUAACGUGACGGUACCUACAGAGGAAGGACCGGCUAACUACGUGCCAGCAGCCGCGGUGAUACGUAGGGUCCGAGCGUUGUCCGGAAUUAUUGGGCGUAAAGGGCUUGUAGGCGGUCCGUCGCGUCAGGAGUGAAAACUCGGGGCUUAACCCCGAGCCUGCUUUUGAUACGGGCGGACUAAAGGGAUGCAGGGGAGAACGGAAUUCCUGGUGGAGCGGUGGAAUGCGCAGAUAUCAGGAGGAACACCGGUGGGCGAAGGCGGUUCUCUGGGCAUCACCUGACGCUGAGAAGCGAAAGCGUGGGGAGCAAACAGGCUUAGAUACCCUGGUAGUCCACGCCGUAAACGGUGGGCACUAGGUGUGGGGGACAUUCCACGUUCUCCGUGCCGAAGCUAACGCAUUAAGUGCCCCGCCUGGGGAGUACGGCCGCAAGGCUAAAACUCAAAGGAAUUGACGGGGGCCCGCACAAGCGGCGGAGCAUGCGGAUUAAUUCGAUGCAACGCGAAGAACCUUACCUGGGUUUGACAUACACCGGAAAGCUGCAGAGAUGUAGCCCCCGCAAGGUCGGUGUACAGGUGGUGCAUGGCUGUCGUCAGCUCGUGUCGUGAGAUGUUGGGUUAAGUCCCGCAACGAGCGCAACCCUCGUCCUAUGUUGCCAGCGGAUAAUGCCGGGGACUCAUAGGAGACUGCCGGGGUCAACUCGGAGGAAGGUGGGGAUGACGUCAAGUCAUCAUGCCCCUUAAGUCCAGGGCUUCACGCAUGCUACAAUGGCCGGUACAAAGGGCUGCGAUACCGCAAGGUGGAGCGAAUCCCAAAAAGCCGGUCUCAGUUCGGAUUGGGGUCUGCAACUCGACCCCAUGAAGUCGGAGUCGCUAGUAAUCGCAGAUCAGCAACGCUGCGGUGAAUACGUUCCCGGGCCU
RNAcentral lists this ribosomal RNA (1339 nucleotides) under uncultured bacterium. Its description in RNAcentral is "bacterial SSU rRNA". It matches the Rfam family "Bacterial small subunit ribosomal RNA", at positions 28 to 1381 of the family's 1533-position model. The record is from RNAcentral.